Zea mays is the source of this 2410-nucleotide RNA transcript. RefSeq lists it as uncharacterized. Lineage: Eukaryota; Viridiplantae; Streptophyta; Magnoliopsida; Poales; Poaceae. The transcript is spliced from 13 exons. The record is from RefSeq and is marked validated.
CGGGCGGCUCCUGCUACAAAAAAAUAAAAAAUCCGUCGUCGCUUUGCUCUGCCUCCGCGGCUCCGUGUGCCCGACUGCCCGUCCCGUGCCGCCCCACUUGCAGUUGGAGUCGCCACUCGCUUGCUGUGGUCGGGUACUCGGGUCGGCCCACCGCCUCCUACCAGCCUCCGACCACCGCCUCGCCACUUGCCCCGCGUGCGUCCCCCGUCUCCAACUCCAAUGGCGGCGCCCUCCCACCUCCACCUCCCGGGCUGCCCCCAAACCCUAGCCCUGCCCCUGCCCUGGCCACGGGGCUUCUCUGCUCCGCCCGGCCUCCUCUCCCGCUCCCGACGCCUCCGCCCGGUCGCCGCGCUCGGGCCCGCCGACGCCGGCGACUUGCUCGGCCGAGUCGAGGCGUUACUCUACACCGUCGCGGACGCUGCUGUCUCCGCGGAGCCCGUCGCGGCGGCCGGGACCAAGGAGGCCGCCGCCGGUGACUGGCUCUCCAGCAUCACCAAUUCCAUGGAGACCGUGCUCAAGGUGCUGAAAGAUGGUCUAUUGUCUCUCCAUGUUCCUUAUUCAUAUGGCUUUGCAAUCAUUCUCCUCACCGUUCUUGUUAAGGCAGCUACAUUUCCUCUAACAAAGAAGCAGGUUGAGUCUGCACUUGCAAUGAGGUCACUGCAACCUCAAGUGAAGACCAUUCAAGAACGAUAUGCUGGUGAUCAGGAAAGGAUACAGCUCGAAACUGCUCGCUUAUACAAAUUAUCUGGUGUUGACCCACUUGCAGGAUGCUUGCCUACCCUUGUGACAAUACCAGUUUGGAUUGGUCUAUACAGAGCUCUCUCAAAUGUAGCUAAUGAGGGACUUCUGACUGAAGGCUUUUUUUGGAUACCUUCUUUGGCCGGUCCUACAACAAUUGCUGCUCAACAAAAUGGCCAGGGAAUAUCCUGGCUUUUUCCUUUUACUGAUGGUCAUCCACCUCUUGGCUGGUCAGACACUUUGGCAUACCUCGUGUUACCAGUUCUUCUUGUCAUUUCACAAUACAUAUCUUCUCAAGUAAUGCAGCCACCACAGAGCAAUGAUCCUAGCCAACAAGGUGCUCAGGCUGUAACAAAGUUCUUACCAUUGCUAAUUGGUUAUUUUGCUCUUUCCGUGCCUUCUGGACUAGGUUUGUACUGGCUCCAUUGAUACAGUUCCUCCAAAUAAUCAGAAUAUUUAUCAGUAUUGCCUUUAACAAGUCGGAAUAUGGGUUUUUUUUUCCGAGAAGAAGAGAGGUUCAACAUAGACCAGUUACAAGAUGCAAUCCUCUUUACAGAGGGCGGAAACAGAGAUAAUAAAAAGUUCCAUUAAAACAAAUCUAGGCUACAACUAACCUGAAAACAGGGAGCAACAUGACCAGGCAGGAGGCUAUGACUAAGAGCCCUCAACAGGAGCAGUGAGGAAGGCUUACAAAUAAUAUCCUCAGUACUGCGCAACAAGUGUGGCUUCAAAAGCUUGGAGGUGCAAAAAAUCCUGUCAAAGAAUAUAUUGACAAACUUUCAAGAGAAGAAUCCACCAAUGUUCAGAAGAAUGGAUCCACUGUUCAGAGCAAACCUCUGCCCAAACUUAGUAAAGCCCAGCCCAGCCAAGAGCUGAAACCAACUGGACCGCAACGUGGGGAAAGAUUUAGGAAACUAAAGGAGGAAGAAUCAAGGAGAAAAGAGGUUCUGGGGCAAGCAGAACAAUCAGAACAGUCAAGUUUUGAAUCUAGCGUCGUAGAUGGAGCACAAAUUUCUGAUGCGUCUUCUGGAGACAAAAAUGAUGAACAGGUAUUAAACAGGAGCCUCAUGAAAUUGGACCGAUCGUAGCUAAUAGCAACGGUGGAGUUAACCAUAGUAGAAAUGAAAAGACUGAGAAUUUUUCAUCAGAAAAGGAAGCAGCUGACGAUCAUUCCUCGGUAAGCAAACCUAUGUUACCGGAUGCCCACAAAUUAACGGACCAAGACAAUGGAAACGAUGCAGUAUAGAGAGUGGAUGUUAGCGUAGCUAGUCGUUCUGCUGCUUUGAUGCGUUCACUGAAAAUCAGUGGCUCAGACGUGUCUGCUUCAUCACGCUGAGGUAUAGCUGUGAGGCAUAGUGAGCAAUAGUUUCACGAACAUCUAUCAAGAAUCACACGAAGAUGCAGCAGGAGGCAAAUUUGUUUCAAACUAGAAACCACGCUCUAGGUCUAAGCCCUUUUUCUUUUCCCCCACGAAUUUGUGCUGUACUGUAGGUUAUGUGAUGCAUAUAAGAGUAGUAGGUGAAAGGAUUCUGAGAUAUCAAAGGGAUUCUGUCCAUAACGUGUAAUGUUGUUCAGUUGGGGGUGGGAUGGAUGCAAAGGUGGCAAUUCGACAUUUUACUACUUGUCGUGACAAUAAUUUUGGAAUGGAUGAUGAUGCCUGUCUUGAGAAGCA